RNAcentral lists this long non-coding RNA (594 nucleotides) under Mytilus galloprovincialis (Mediterranean mussel). The record is from RNAcentral. Lineage: Eukaryota; Metazoa; Mollusca; Bivalvia; Mytilida; Mytilidae.
AUCAAACAUAAAUCAAGCUUAAAUUUGGAUGGUGUCCCUUUAAUCAUUCUCAAAUAAUUUCCCCUUUAUAAAUGGAAAAAUGCUUCAAUUGCUUUUACAAGCAGAGUCAUCUGUCACACGAACACAUUCUUUUUAUGUCCCCGCCAUAGCUGGAGGGGCAGUAAGUUUUGCCCUUGUCCAUAAGUACCCAAAAUUGGUUUCCCUUCUCUAACUUCAGUUUGCUUCCAUAUAAUUCUAUGAAACUUAUACCCAAUGCUUAUUACCCCAAAAUACUGAUCAAGUUUGAAUUUUGGUAGUUUCACCUUUAACCAUUUAGACUUAUUAUGAGUUAUGCCUCUUAUAAAAAGAAAAAUUGUAAAAUAUUUAUUUUUCCGUUCUCUAAAGUUUGCCUCAACCAAAUGUAAUGAAACUUAUACACAAUGCUUAUAACCAAAUUACACAAAUCAAGUUGAAUUUUUGUGGUGUCACACUACCAUUAUCAAGUAAAAAGGGGGGGAUCAUCUGUGUCCAUGGGGACACAUUCUCAAUUUUUAUACGACCACAAAAUUUAAAAUUUGGUCAUAUAUUGGUAUCAUGUCAUCGUCGUCAGCGUCG